This 174-nucleotide small RNA is filed under the name Cavia aperea (Brazilian guinea pig). RNAcentral describes it as "7SK RNA (ENSCAPG00000000923.1)". It matches the Rfam family "7SK RNA", at positions 120 to 273 of the family's 331-position model. Rfam says of the family: 7SK was discovered as an abundant small nuclear RNA in the mid-70s but a possible function has only recently been suggested. Two independent studies have found that 7SK RNA binds the CDK9/cyclin T complex (known as elongation factor P-TEFb). P-TEFb activates transcription by phosphorylating the C-terminal domain of RNA polymerase II. Lineage: Eukaryota; Metazoa; Chordata; Mammalia; Rodentia; Caviidae. The record is from RNAcentral.
UCCCACACUUGGGAGGCAAGAGGAUGGCUGUAAGUCUGAGUCUAGCCUGGGUCGACUGGACAAUAACCCGAUAGAGGAGAACUGUUCCUUGGUCAAGGGUGUAUGAGUAGUUGCACUCCCCUUCUAGAACCUACAAAUAAACUCUCAAGGAAGAUACUAAAUUAUAAAUCAAAC